Molecule: long non-coding RNA, 271 nt
Organism: Procambarus clarkii (red swamp crayfish)
Lineage: Eukaryota; Metazoa; Arthropoda; Malacostraca; Decapoda; Cambaridae
Source: RefSeq, a predicted model, not a curated record
CAGCGCAUGCGUCGUUCGUGUUCAAAGAUCUCUAUAAUAUACAAUCAACGCAACUCACUCGACACCUUAUUCAGGAAGAUGGUGGCGCUGAGAGCGUUGCUGCUGGUGCUGCUGCUGGUAAUGGCAGCAGUGACACAUGUGCAGGGCGGCAGGAGAGACUGUGAGGCGGCUGGCGGGAGCUGUGUUCCCGCCAAAACCUGUGACGUCACCCCUUCUGAACAUGGCUGCCAGGAGCAAGAUGCAGUCUGCUGCAUUAAUACUCCAACACAAG